GCAAAUGUUUAUUUAAAUGUAAUUGUUUCAAUAAAAUAUAUCAAAUGUAAGACAAACAUAAGAAUUGGAAUAAAAAAUGUGGAUAAUCAGGUUUACCUAAGGGCAAGAAGUGGGUUCGAGCCGUGAACCGAAUGCAGGCAGAACUUUGAUGCAGUGAGUGGGUUUGAACCCUCAAACAAAGGAAGAACUCAAAGAGAAAACAAAACAUUGUCUUAUUUAGCAAAUAUUUGUUUGUAAACUUCAUCGGCAUGCUAUGAAUAUUAUGUAUUGGGAGCACAUAAAAAUGUCAACCUUUUCAAAUGGAGCAUAUUGAACAAAUUAUAGUUCUGUGCUAAACAGUUCGAAGGGCAAACAAAGAAUCGCAGACUCCCAUGUGCCAAGUCGACUUCCGUUCCCGUUCCCGUUCCCGUUCACCUGAGUUGACCAGGUCGAAUCGAUGCUGCUGCUGGGCAAUUGUCCUGGCAUUGUGCUGUCUCAGCAGCAUCUACUGGCUGCAGCGUCCUUUUGUCGUCCUUUAUUGUCUGCAAUUCAACGGAACUCGAAUUGUGUUUGUUGUGCAAAUUGUUUCAGCGUUUGCCAAAGACAAACAGCAACAGCAAAAUAAAAAAUAAAA
Molecule: non-coding RNA, 613 nt
Organism: Drosophila virilis
Lineage: Eukaryota; Metazoa; Arthropoda; Insecta; Diptera; Drosophilidae
Source: RefSeq, a predicted model, not a curated record